Molecule: long non-coding RNA, 264 nt
Filed under: Brassica napus (rape)
Lineage: Eukaryota; Viridiplantae; Streptophyta; Magnoliopsida; Brassicales; Brassicaceae
Description: long non-coding RNA (BNAP_LNC014498)
Source: RNAcentral
GUGGGUAAUUGUCACUAUAGAAAGUAAAAUUAAGAUAAAAACUAAGACUAUUUUACGACAUGAUUCUUAAUUUUGUAGCUAAUUUGCAAAUUUAUAAUUUAUGUUAACCCAACUUUAUUCUAAGUGGAAAGGUUUAGUUAUGGUGACCAAUGGUUGGCGGUGUGUUGCAUCUGUGUGUCUUAAAUCUAUGUGCACCAGUAAAAGCCCAACCCUCGUGGGCGAAAGAAAGAUAAACUCGCUAUCAAGGUUGGCAUCUGGGGGUUG